RNAcentral lists this ribosomal RNA (118 nucleotides) under Octodon degus (degu). The record is from RNAcentral. Lineage: Eukaryota; Metazoa; Chordata; Mammalia; Rodentia; Octodontidae.
GUCUACAGCCAUACCACCCUGAACGUGUCUGAUCUCAUAAGCUAAGCAGGGUCGGGCCUGCUGAGUACUUGGAUGGGAGAAAUGAUCUCACAGGUAAAAAAAAAAAGAAAUGAUGACU